Molecule: ribosomal RNA, 927 nt
Filed under: uncultured archaeon
Lineage: Archaea
Description: bacterial SSU rRNA
Rfam family: Archaeal small subunit ribosomal RNA
Source: RNAcentral
CGCACUAGUGAUUUUCCGGAAGAUCCUGCCGGACCUGACUGCUAUCGGAUUGAUACUAAGCCAUGCGAGUCAUUGUAGCAAUACAAGGCAGACGGCUCAGUAACGCGUAGUCAACCUAACCUAUGGACGGGAAUACCCUCGGGAAACUGAGAAUAAUGCCCGAUAGAACAUUAUGCCUGGAAUGGUUUAUGUUCCAAAUGAUUUAUCGCCGUAGGAUGGGACUGCGGCCUAUCAGUUUGUUGGUGAGGUAAUGGCCCACCAAGACUAUUACAGGUACGGGCUCUGAGAGGAGUAGCCCGGAGAUGGGUACUGAGACACGGACCUAGGCCCUAUGGGGCGCAGCAGGCGAGAAAACUUUGCAAUGUGCGAAAGCACGACAAGGUUAAUCCGAGUGGUUUCUGCUAAAGGAACCUUUUGUCGGUCCUAGAAACACCGAUGAAUAAGGGGUGGGCAAGUUCUGGUGUCAGCCGCCGCGGUAAAACCAGCACCUCAAGUGGUCAGGAUGAUUAUUGGGCCUAAAGCAUCCGUAGCCUGCUUUGUUAGUUUUCGGUUAAAUCUGUACGCUCAACGUACAGGCUGCCGGGAAUACUGCAAAGCUAGGGAGUGGGAGAGGUAGACGGUACUCGGUAGGAAGGGGUAAAAUCCUUUGAUCUAUUGAUGACCACCUGUGGCGAAGGCGGUCUACCAGAACACGUCCGACGGUGAGGGAUGAAAGCUGGGGGAGCAAACCGGAUUAGAUACCCGGGUAGUCCCAGCCGUAAACCAUGCAAACUCAGUGAUGCAUUGGCUUGUGGCCAAUGCAGUGCUGCAGGGAAGCCGUUAAGUUUGCCGCCUGGGAAGUACGUACGCAAGUAUGAAACUUAAAGGAAUUGGCGGGGGAGCACCACAAGGGGUGAAGCCUGCGGUUCAAUUGGAUUCAACGCCGGG